RNAcentral lists this ribosomal RNA (254 nucleotides) under uncultured bacterium. RNAcentral describes it as "partial 16S ribosomal RNA". It matches the Rfam family "Bacterial small subunit ribosomal RNA", at positions 524 to 776 of the family's 1533-position model. The record is from RNAcentral.
UACGGGGGGAGCAAGCGUUGUUCGGAUUUACUGGGCGUAAAGGGCGCGUAGGCGGCCACCGCAAGUCGACUGUGAAAUCUCCGGGCUUAACCCGGAAAGGUCAGCCGAUACUGCGGGGCUAGAGUGCAGAAGGGGCAACUGGAAUUCUCGGUGUAGCGGUGAAAUGCGUAGAUAUCAAGCGGAACACCAGUGGCGAAGGCGAGUCCCUGGACAACUCCUGACACUGAGGCACGAAAGCUAGGGGAGCAAACAGG